Long non-coding RNA from Jatropha curcas, 963 nucleotides. RefSeq lists it as uncharacterized. The record is from RefSeq and is a predicted model, not a curated record. Lineage: Eukaryota; Viridiplantae; Streptophyta; Magnoliopsida; Malpighiales; Euphorbiaceae.
UCUGUUCUUCUUGAAUCGUCUGUUCAUCAGAUUGACGACUUGUCGUUCUAGAAUAAAUAUAGAUUUUUCUUUGAAUUUUUUCAGUUCAACCCCGAUUCCGCAAAUGUCGUUCACCCAAAAUGACUAUUGGCUUGCAAACGACAGACAAAAACGACUCGUUGUUGAAAUUCUAAAUACCAAUUCGCGAAUUACUUCCUCUGAUCCUCUUUGUCGUUAUAAAAAAUUAAUAGAAUGGUCGCUCACAAACAACAGAGAGAAUGGACAUGUCAUUGCAAUAUGGUUUGAGGAAUAAACAUUAAGCAAAGGAAACCAACAAAAAUAUUAAUCUCUCGAAUAUUUAAGAAACAAUCGUGAUUAAAAAAACGAUGUUGAAUUGCAGCCAACACAGAAAUCCAGAGGAGUAAAAGAAGAGAGAGAGUUAGAAAGUGCAAAUCUAGAAAAGAACCAAGCUCGAUCGGUUCAUUUUACCUUUUUAUGAUUGAUAUCCAGACUUCAUCAUCUCUCACGUUUCUGGUUUCUGAUGAAAAUGUUACAUACCUUCUUUUUCGGAGCCAUGGCGACGAUUUUGAGAGCCUGUCUAAAAGGAAAUGAGCGGUCAAAGCGAGAGUUGGAAGAGAAGGAGCGGCGUUGGAGUCCUCGAAGAAAAGCAGGUGAGGAUGGUUGUGCUGUGACCGCCAUUGAUGGAUAAUGGAGCCAGAACAAGAGUGAAACGGAGAGAUCGAGGGAGAAAGGAUUGGAUGGUUUUUCUGUUGAUGAUGCGACUGCCACGUUGGAUAGUGUCUGUAAUCUCCAAGUCCACCAAUCGUAUUGAUGAUGGGCUUCAUGGCUUUAUCCAUCUGGGACAUCUUUCUUUUAUCAUCCUUUUGUUUUUCUUUUAGAAAAAUCAAACUAUAUGAUUCUUUAACUGUGUGAAAAUUACGUUGCUACAUUUUAUUUUUGGUUAACAAAAUCUUUGUUUUAUUA